CCUACGGGAGGCAGCAGUGGGGAAUAUUGGGCAAUGGACGCAAGUCUGACCCAGCAACGCCGCGUGAAGGAAGAAGGCUUUCGGGUUGUAAACUUCUUUUAAGGGGGAAGAGCAGAAGACGUUACCCCUUGAAUAAGCCACGGCUACCUACGUGCCAGCAGCCGCGGUAAUACGUAGGUGGCAAGCGUUAUCCGGAUUCAUUGGGUUUAAAGGAUGCGUAGGUUGUUUUAUAAGUUAGCGAUGAAAUACCGAUGCUCAACAUCGGGGCUGCCGCUAAUACUGUAGGACUAGAGAUCGGAUGCAGCAGGCGGAAUGUGUAGUGUAGCGGUGAAAUGCAUAGAUAUUACACAGAACACCGAUUGCGAAGGCAGCUUGCUAGGCCGGAUCUGACACUGAUGCACGAAAGCGUGGGGAUCGAACAGGAUUAGAUACCCCUGUAGUC
Molecule: ribosomal RNA, 442 nt
Filed under: uncultured bacterium
Lineage: Bacteria
Description: partial 16S ribosomal RNA
Rfam family: Bacterial small subunit ribosomal RNA
Source: RNAcentral